ACGUAGGAUGCAAGCGUUAUCCGGAUUUAUUGGGUUUAAAGGGUGCGUAGGCGGAAUAAUAAGUCAGUGGUGAAAUCUCCCGGCUUAACCGGGAAACUGCCAUAGAUACUGUUAUUCUUGAGUAUAUUUGACGUGGGCGGAAUGUGUCAUGUAGCGGUGAAAUGCUUAGAUAUGACACAGAACACCGAUUGCGAAGGCAGCUCACGAAACUAUAACUGACGCUGAGGCACGAAAGCGUGGGGAUCAAACAG
Molecule: ribosomal RNA, 251 nt
Filed under: uncultured prokaryote
Description: partial 16S rRNA
Rfam family: Bacterial small subunit ribosomal RNA
Source: RNAcentral